CGGCGGCAGCGCCGGGGCG
RNAcentral lists this microRNA (19 nucleotides) under Bos taurus (domestic cattle). RNAcentral's name for it is "bta-miR-2885". Lineage: Eukaryota; Metazoa; Chordata; Mammalia; Artiodactyla; Bovidae. The record is from miRBase by way of RNAcentral.